UAGGGAAUCUUCGGCAAUGGGGGCAACCCUGACCGAGCAACGCCGCGUGAGUGAAGAAGGUUUUCGGAUCGUAAAGCUCUGUUGUAAGUCAAGAACGAGUGUGAGAGUGGAAAGUUCACACUGUGACGGUAGCUUACCAGAAAGGGACGGCUAACUACGUGCCAGCAGCCGCGAUAAUACGUAGGUCCCGAGCGUUGUCCGGAUUUAUUGGGCGUAAAGCGAGCGCAGGCGGUUUGAUAAGUCUGAAGUUAAAGGCUGUGGCUCAACCAUAGUUCGCUUUGGAAACUGUCAAACUUGAGUGCAGAAGGGGAGAGUGGAAUUCCAUGUGUAGCGGUGAAAUGCGUAGAUAUAUGGAGGAACACCGGUGGCGAAAGCGGCUCUCUGGUCUGUAACUGACGCUGAGGCUCGAAAGCGUGGGGAGCGAACAGGAUUAGAUACCCUGGUAGUCCACGCCGUAAACGAUGAGUGCUAGGUGUUGGAUCCUUUCCGGGAUUCAGUGCCGCAGCUAACGCAUUAAGCACUCCGCCUGGGGAGUACGACCGCAAGGUUG
This 550-nucleotide ribosomal RNA is filed under the name uncultured bacterium. RNAcentral's name for it is "bacterial SSU rRNA". It matches the Rfam family "Bacterial small subunit ribosomal RNA", at positions 355 to 896 of the family's 1533-position model. The record is from RNAcentral.